Molecule: unclassified non-coding RNA, 658 nt
Filed under: uncultured Prochlorococcus sp.
Lineage: Bacteria; Bacillati; Cyanobacteriota; Cyanophyceae; Synechococcales; Prochlorococcaceae
Description: partial 16S-23S ribosomal RNA intergenic spacer; may also contain 16S ribosomal RNA and 23S ribosomal RNA
Rfam family: tRNA (bases 303-375)
Source: RNAcentral
UUGUGGAGGAGGACGCCGAGGGUGGGGCUAAUGACUGGGGUGAAGUCGUAACAAGGUAGCCGUACCGGAAGGUGCGGCUGGAUCACCUCCUAACAGGGAGACAACAAAAUGUAAAUAUUAAUUUUGUCACCUUAGGUCGAUCGGUAUCUCAGAUUCUUAUUUUUUAAGAAUUUCAGUUUCUAAGUUUUUUCUAGGUCACACCCAUCACUUUUUCCUGGGCCAUUAGCUCAGGAGGUUAGAGCGCACCCCUGAUAAGGGUGAGGUCCCUGGUUCAAGUCCAGGAUGGCCCAUAUCUCUAUGUUGGGGGUAUAGCUCAGUUGGUAGAGCGCCUGCUUUGCAAGCAGGAUGUCAGCGGUUCGAGUCCGCUUACCUCCACUGAAUACCACCUCUUACAUAUAUUUAAAGAGGGAAAUUGUUUUGAGUCGUGUCCUAAUUUGCUCUGAGCGAAUCUAGCUUCCAAUUUUAUUCAAUAAAUAAGAUGCUGGACUCAUUGAAUUUUUUUUUUCAUUGUUUUCAGAGAACCUUGACAACUGCAUAGAUUAUUUUUGAAGACAAUAAGCAUCUUUAAUGAUGCAGAUUUAUUAUUUGUGCGAAUGCAUUAAAUAACAAUCCUAUUAAGCUGAUGCUUCAAUUAUUGAAGUUAUUGGUCAAGCUACAA